This 391-nucleotide ribosomal RNA is filed under the name uncultured bacterium. RNAcentral describes it as "bacterial SSU rRNA". It matches the Rfam family "Bacterial small subunit ribosomal RNA", at positions 28 to 420 of the family's 1533-position model. The record is from RNAcentral.
GACGAACGCUGGCGGCGUGCUUAACACAUGCAAGUCGAGCGGUAAGGCCCUUUCGGGGGUACACGAGCGGCGAACGGGUGAGUAACACGUGGAUGACCUGCCCUCAGCUCUGGGAUAAGCCUGGGAAAUCGGGUCUAAUACCGGAUAUGACUCCAUGACGCAUGUUGUGGGGUGGAAAGCCUUGUGCGGCUGAGGAUGGGCCCGCGGCCUAUCAGCUUGUUGGUGGGGUGAUGGCCUACCAAGGCGACGACGGGUAGCCGGCCUGAGAGGGCGACCGGCCACACUGGGACUGAGACACGGCCCAGACUCCUACGGGAGGCAGCAGUGGGGAAUCUUGCGCAAUGGGCGAAAGCCUGACGCAGCGACGCCGCGUGAGGGAUGACGGCCUCGG